GUGGCUCAACUGGUAGAGUGGCGGUUUCCAAAACCGUUGGUUGGGGGUUCGAGUCCCUCCUU
This 62-nucleotide transfer RNA is filed under the name marine eukaryotic metagenome. It matches the Rfam family "tRNA", at positions 7 to 64 of the family's 71-position model. From Rfam's summary of the family: Transfer RNA (tRNA) molecules are approximately 80 nucleotides in length. Their secondary structure includes four short double-helical elements and three loops (D, anti-codon, and T loops). The record is from RNAcentral.